Molecule: ribosomal RNA, 506 nt
Filed under: uncultured bacterium
Lineage: Bacteria
Description: partial 16S ribosomal RNA
Rfam family: Bacterial small subunit ribosomal RNA
Source: RNAcentral
AGUGAACGCUGGCGGCAGGCCUAACACAUGCAAGUCGAACGGCAGCACAGGGGAGCUUGCUCCCUGGGUGGCGAGUGGCGGACGGGUGAGGAAUGCGUCGGAAUCUGCCUUUUCGUGGGGGAUAACGUAGGGAAACUUACGCUAAUACCGCAUACGACCUACGGGUGAAAGCCGGGGACCUUCGGGCCUGGCGCGGAAAGAUGAGCCGACGUCGGAUUAGCUGGUUGGAGGGGUAACGGCCCACCAAGGCGACGAUCCGUAGCUGGUCUGAGCGGAGGAUCAGCCAAACUGGGACUGAGACACGGCCCAGACUCCUACGGGAGGCAGCAGUGGGGAAUAUUGGACAAUGGGCGCAAGCCUGAUCCAGCCAUGCCGCGUGUGUGAAGAAGGCCUUCGGGUUGUAAAGCACUUUUGUACGGGAAGAAAAGCCCCGGGUUAAUACCCUGGGGUCAUGACGGUACCGUAAGAAUAAGCACCGGCUAACUUCGUGCCAGCCGCCGCCGUAA